AUGGCUGAUUCACCACAGAAAGCAUUCAAAACCAUCACCCAAGUAUGGCUGAGAGAAUUGCAAAAAGGUCAGUAUACCUGUCUACAAAUCAUAUACACAGAACAGCACGUGUAAUGUGUCUAAAAUGUCAAAAUUGUAUAUCUCUGAUGAAGAGAAAACUUACAACAUUAAGUUGACAUUCUGCAAUGCUAGCUAGUAACUGCCAUUGUCUGUAAAGAUGCAAUUGCAAGCCACAAAAGAAGUUUUUGUCUUCAGAACAGGUUAGGACCAGCUACCUGAAUGAGUUAAACAUACAUGUACCAUAAUAUAACUGGUCGGGAAACAUAUCAAAUAGUAAAUAAGGAUAUGAAUAUUAUUGAUUCUAAUGCAACAACGUUUGUAACGUUCAUUUUGAUAACGUCACUUAUUUACAUGGCAUCAAUUAUGGAGCUUAAAAUACAAUAGAGUUAUCUCCUAAAUGUUAAGAGAUUUAAAUUUUAUGAAUUAUGUGCAUGAUGUGACGCAGGAUUGCAGAUAUUUUGUACAGUUGUAAGCAUGACACAUGAAAGUAAAAUUAUUUUGCCGUGAAAAUUGGAAAUGAAAUCUAGCGGGACACGGGAAAUCACAAAAAAUGAUAAUUGCUUACAACAGGCUAUUAUUUGAACUUGGAAGUAUUUUUGCUUGAUUUCUUGUUAUUGAAAUUUUCGAUAAAUUCCAUGUUUAUUCUGUACUGAAAUGUUCUGUGCUGCGCACAACACUUUCUAUUACAAAGAAAAUAGUAUAUUUUCAAUAGAAUGUACUGUGCCGCGCACAACACUAUCUAACCAAAAUAUAUUGUAUGGAAAGUGUUAUUAACCGCUCAAAAGAUUAUUAUACCAAAUAAACAUGGAAUUUAUUAAAAAUUUUAAACACAAGAAAUUAUGCAAAUUCCAUAAUUAAAAAUAAUUCCAAGUUCAAAUAAUAGCCUGUUUUAUGUACAUAGCGCAAGAGGGAUACAGGAAUCUGAUAAAACAAUAAGGGGGAUCUGGGAUUAGAACCCCCCAAUGAGAGUAAGCACAUGAUUACUUUUCAUAUAUGUAACUAUUCUUGCAUACUCUGACACCCAACGGUUGUUUUGCCAGACAAUGUGUGGCCAUGGGACAUUAGAGCUUGUCCCAUAAUGGCAUAUUAUAAAGUGGAUAUUUACCGGUCCAAAACCAAUGCCUUGCUUUGUUGCUCCUGGAGCCGACUGAGGGUGUUAAUUUUUCAUUUAUCUCUUCAUUUGUUAAGUUUCAUCUAUCUGCCCUCUUUACAGGGUUCUCACUAAGGCGAGUCCAUGAGUUCUGGACUCAUCAAAAUCUGUCUGGACUCACCAUUUUCAAAACUGGUGAGUCCACAGAUGCAUCAAGAUUGAAAUAUUUUGUAUAAACUGAACACAGUUAAACACAAAUAUCAUUUUACAGUAAAAGUUUAAAAGUGAUCUGAAUUUGAUUUGAUUUCAUUGCUAUGUUAGGAAAUGGAGCCUAAAAUAUUACUUUACAUUGCAAUACAAUAUUUUCUUCUUGCUGAUGGACUCAUCAUACCUAAAAAUGAUGAGUCCCUGGACUCGCCUUCAAAAAUCCUUAGCGAGAACCCUGCCUUUAUUUUCUUAUAUUUGGACAGUUUUCACAUUUGAAUAGCUUUACAUUUGUCAUUUCAGGCCAUUUAACAUGUUGUAAAGCUGAGAAAUGGGAAUGGGCUUUGCUCAUAAUUGUCUUAUAAGGCCACACAGUGACCUAUUGCUGUUAAUUUCUGUGCCAUUUGGUCUCUUGUGGAUAUUUUCUCAUUGACAUUCAUACCACAUCUUAUUUUUAUAUAUACAUACAAAUGUACAAUGUACAUGUAUAUAAAUAUAUGUUUCUAUAAUUCUUAUCUGAUUCAUCCUUUUUUUAACCAGUUUAAUGAUUAUAUCUUUUUACAGAUUUUGGUCUCAAUUUUUUUUCAAUCUACAAAUUUCCUAUUGUGACGUCUUAGAAGAGACAACAAUUCCUGUUGACAUCACAUAGAAAUAAAAAAAAAUUUGUAGAUCUUUGAAAUGCAGGAUUGAGUGUCUGCAUAUUGUCUAAAAAUAAUUAGAGAAACAAAUUCUUCUACAUGUACAUGAAUAUUGAUAUGAUCUACAUGUAUGAUAUCAAGUUAAACAUUGUUGAAGUGGUUUCUACAUGUAUCUUAUCUGAAAGCUAGUAAGACAAGUCAUAUUUGCUCUAAACAUGCUAAAGACUACUUGUAAUAACAAAAUGUUAUUGACCACAGACCUUUUUUUUUUAUUGUAUGCUGCAUGCAAAUGAACGAUUGAUGUACAUUGUAUGUAUUAACCUUGCAUGUAUAUAAACUAUUUAAAGAAUAGAUUAUUAUUUCCUUUAUUGUUUUCAGUUCGUCCGUCAAUGAGACUGAUAUAUAUGUACCUAGCUAACGAUGUUAUACAGAACAGUAAGAAGAAAGGACCUGAAUUUACCAGAGACUUUGCUACUGUAAUGACGGAUGCAUUUGCUUCGGCUACAAAGUAAAUAUAAACCUGAGAUAUUGCAAAAAGUUGUUAUACUAAUAUGUAUCUUUUAAUAUAUUUUAAGUACAUUCUAUAGAUAUAAUAAGAUGUGGCAAUGAGAUAACUCUCCAUCCAAGUCACAAUUUGUGAUUUCAAAUCAACCAUUAUAGGUCAAAAUGCAGUCUUCAACAUGGAGCCUUGGCUCACACCAAAAAGUACGCUAAAUGGGAAAACCAAGUCUGAAUGGCCUAUAUCUUUACUCGAUUGUACUGAUUUUUACUUGAACAGUCUGCAUUGGUCUGACUUUUACUUGACAUUACUUGACCCCAGCAUUUGCCCAGUCUGAACCAUACUAGACUGUACUGAAUCAUACAACAAACUACAAAAUAAUUGAGGGUACACUUUGAUUAUAUAAUUUGUGUGCAUGUGUUGAAAGAACACACAUUAUAUUAUUCAAAAUAAUUAUCCUGUAUAUAUGCAAUCGUUCUGAAAAAAAAAGAGAGUUAGUAAAUAAUUUUAUUGGGUUUAUAUUGUAGAGACGCUGAGGAAAAGGUGAAGAAAUCAGUGGAUAGAAUAUUAAAUAUAUGGCAGGAAAGAGGUGUUUACAGUAAAAACACAAUAGAUAAAAUAAAAAGUGGCACAGGUGAGUGUAAACAAAUGGGUCAUACUUAGAUGCAACAAACCCAGGCAUAGAAGUUUCCUACAUGUGUACCACCAUCUUUGACUUUGUCUGCCAUCUAAGAUAAAUAAAAUGUUUUCAACUAAUUUUCGGGGAUCACACAUGUAUAUGUCACAACAAAAUAUGUUUGCAACAAUAGGUCAAUUGGCACAGGUAUUUUUUGGUUUAUACUUGGAGACUUAAAGCAUAAAACAUUAUUAUUCUUUUCAUUCUUUAUUUAAGCAGAUUCAUCAUUUGAUUGAAUUGAAAUCAAAUUAGAGGUUCAAUUAGGAUAUAGAUGAUUGAAAGUUACAUUUUAUCCUCUAGGAAACCUUAUAAAAUGAUUAUGUUUUUUGUUUGGCACAAAACUUAUGUUUCAUUAUUUGUUUUAAAUAGAUAUUGUUUGUAGACGAAGAAAAUAUAUAUCACUCUCUUAAGAGUAUAAGCUUUAUUACAUAUUUAAUUUUCAGGAAACCAAAUUAUUCACAAAAGUGGUGAGUACGCUAUCAAUUUCACUCUUUGCUUGUCUGGAACUCUGUAUGUACAUUUUGUACCAUCAUCCAUAUUGUAUGUGUUUGAAGUCUUAAAAUAAUUGUUUCAGUGUUUUGUAUUCAAAGAGCACUCUACUAAAUACCUUGCAGUUAAUAUGGUAGCCAUUUAGGGAAAUAGGAACAUUGGAAAUUUCAAAAUUAUUCAGAUUAAAGAAUUAAUUUAAGGUAGAUAGAUGGUAUACCGCCAUCUUCGAUUGAACAAUCACAGUAAAAAAUCGGUCUAGUUAUUUGCCUAAAUUUGCAAAUUUAGAGACAAAUUUGCAAUUUAAAGGUUCGAUUUUUUUAUAAUAUAAAGAAAACUUGGUAAUAUAGUGUAUAAUAUAAAAUAUUUAAACAAACAUCAUUUUUUUGGCUUUUAGAAUCAUUUUUUUCAAAUGAGCCAUUUAAGGGAAGAUAACUAUUUUAGUCAAAAAUUUAUACUGGACUGAUAGGGAAAUUUUUUCUUUUUACUUGUAACAAGAAAACAAGUUCGGUGACACCAUUUUUUCUUUUUAUUUUCUUAAAAUGUAUCACAAAACCUAUCUUUUCACAAUUUAUUUCAAAAUUCUAUGUCAUAGAUUUUUCUAUGAACAUUCUAACCAAAUUUAGGCAAUUUUCAACGACUCAUAGCUUGAAAAAUAGCAUGGUGACCCAAACUUUUUUUUUCAUUUUUGAAAAAAGCAUAGUAAAAUCUUCAUUUUGGCUAAGUAUAAGAAAAUUCUGUCUCAAAAAUAUUUUACUUAUGAUCUACCUUAAGGGCAUACGAUACAGUUACAGGGAAUGUAAUGACGUUGCUAACGUAAAAUGUUAUUUUUGCGACGUCAAACUCUGACAUAUCGGGAAAAGAUGCAUUUUCGACUGAUUUUUAUCAUUCAAACUGAUUUAAUUUGAAAACGAGUGCAUGGACCCCUAUUUUUUAAAACAGCAAUUUGUUUCAUUUUGCAAGGAGAUUAUGUGACCCAAAUUUUAUAAAACUGUAAAUAGCGCAAUUUUUUUUAUUUUGAUAAGCAUGCAGCAAAAAAUGACGUUUUUUACUCUAUUCAUGAACAUUUGAUAAAUAGAGAGUUAUUUCGGAAUAAAAAGUGCAUAAUUUUUAAUGAUACUUAUAAAAUACAGAAAUUACCGAUUAUUUAACAAAAACCAUUUUGUGUUUAUCUUUUAAAACAAAAAAGUUAUGUCUUUCUUUCGAAAAAGAAAAUACAGCCACAAAUCUGAAUUUUGAGCAAAUAUACAAAAUUUCGAACUCAUUUUACUUAAAAAGUAGCACAUGAAGGUAUAUUUUUUAUUACAUAUUUGAUUUAAUGAGGUAAAAAAUAGCCUAUAUGCAAAUUUUCAUCAACUUGUAAAUACAGGUUCAAUACUGUAUCGUAUGCCCUUAAUGUCACUUCAAAACAUUUUUUUUUUGAGAUUGACUUUUUUGGGGAAAAUCUCAAUAAGAUCAAUUGUCUGCAAGAAUGUAAAUUAACUGUUGAGUGUUCUUUAAGGUAAGUAAUAAAUAGAAGUGGUAUUUGGUUGCCUUGGCAAACAGAUUUCUGGUGUUGGACUGUAUUUCUCAAAUUUGCAUACUAUUGCUAAUCAAACAUAAAAAAUCUCUUAUUUCUAAAGAAUAUUGCUUUGAAAAUGUUAUUAAUUAUUUAUAUUUAAUUUUAUGAUAAAUUUGAAUGUUUAUUUGUUUUAUUACCAUAGUCAGAUAAAAAGUUAAUAAAUAAAAAAAUACAUUGUCAUGAGAUUUUUAAAACCUGAAAAAAUCUUAAUUUGAGCCUUAAAUUUUGAGGACUGAAUUUGAGAAAUACAGAUACUGUGUGGUGUUUGCACUUACAUGCUUGCUUGCAAUUGAUGUAUGUUGUGGUGUGUCUUUCUAUUGUAGCCCUUCAAGACAUUACAGAGAGAAGGAAGAAAAAGAUUGAAGAAUAUAUACCGACCUAUAAAAAAGGUGAAAUUUGUGUAGUGUGUUGAGAGGUGCAAGGGGGAGGGAACCUGAUAUUACUUAUAAGUCAUUUUCAUCUUAAAUAACAUCAAAAUCAUUCAUUUUAAAUAUUAUAUGUUGCCAGGUCAGUUUAAGAUACUUUCAGAAGAUUUCUAGAACAAAUGUUUUAUUUUUACAGCCAUAUCAGAUAUAGCAGCUGAAAUAAACUUAAAAAGAGGAAGAGACAAGAAAAAAGUAGAGGAAUAUGUACCUGUCAAUAAGGUCAAAGGUUAGUAUAGAAAAGAGUACAGGAAUAUGUACCUGUCAAUAAGGUCAAAUGUUAGUAUAGAAAAAAGUACAGGAAUAUGUACGGUACCUGUCAAUAAGGUCAAAGGUUAGUGCUAUCAAAGGUCACUCUGUUGAUGAUUUUGUUUGAUUCAUGCUUUGUAAAACUCAUUAAACUUGAAACUUCUCAGAAUUUAGACAUUUAUUGUUGUAUUGCUAAAAAAAACUUGGUGUUUUUCCUUGGCAUAUUUAGAACAAUGUAAAGCUACUAUGAACACAACACUCAAGGGAAUUUAAUUAGACACAUGUUUGUUUGUAGGGUAUUGUCUUCAGGAUAAAAAGUAAUAAAGUAACAAAAUCAGUACAAAUCUGUUCAAUAAGAUGCACUUCAAAAUAGGCACCAGGGGAAGUAACUUACUUAACAUCAUUCAAUAUGAAUAAUUCUAGCAUUCUAUGGGAAAAUCACAGGUUUUUUGUACUAUCAUAAAAUUUAGAUUUUUCACUAUCUGUGCUUUUAUUAAAGAUCAGUUGGAAGCUACUUUCAUGGAUAUGAGCGAGCCAUAAAUUUAGAUUUUCAAAAGAAUUAUAACUUCUAAUUAAUAUGUAGAAAAAUUGGUGCCCACCAAAAUAAAUGAAUCUACAGUAUUAAUGCCAUUAAGUAAUCUAAGAACAUGAUACAUUGUCAUUAAUUUUUAUUAGAAAGGUAGAUAUGUAUAAUAAAGAUUAAGCUAUACUUUGGAUUUUUUUUAGGAUUUUGACAUUUUCCUGAAAUCAAAAGCAAAUGCUCGCAGUCUGAUUUUGAAAGUGGUUUAUGACAAAUUCGCAUUUGUUCUCAAUGUCCAUAGGUUAAAAAAAAAUUAAACAAACUAAAAUAAAUUCCAACUACACACCUAUAUUUCUCAAGCAGGAAACAGUAAACAUACAUUUUCUGUUUGUCCUUGUGUAGUUUAUCAUAUAUACUGGUGCCAUAUUUUGAGAAUGUCACAAGGAAUUUAGCCUUUUUAAGUGAAGUUAAAUUAUAUUUUAUAAGACCCACAGCCAGUUGAUGCAGCGCCUCCUAAUAAGAAAAAGAAGAAAGAAGAAAUGUUGUCACUGAGAGAAGAAAUAGAGCUUAUGUCAAAAGAUGAUACAAGUGGCCCACCAGAUGUAAGAUCUUACUUUACACACAUUUGGUACCUCCCUCUCAAUAUUUACAAGUAUUUUCAAUUCUUGAAUCAAAAGUUUGGUAUUCUCUUUGAAUGAUCAAGUCUAUACUUUUGACUGUUUGUAAACUUGAUGCUUCUAAAAUUUCUUUAAAAAAAUGAUAUUUAAAGGAAUCCAACUUCAAAGUUGCAUAUUCGUAUUUGAUGCCUAACAUUUUUUGAAUAGCUCUUGAUAAAAUUGUAAAUAAAAUGACUGGUUACAAAAAUCAUGUAAUGUUUCAGAUUUUUCUAAACAUAUCUUUAAGAAUAAGAUAAUUGUUGUAACCCCAAAACAGCCAAGUUUGAACCAUUGUGCAAAAUGAAACAUAAGGUAUAUAUAAAAAAGAAGAUGUAUUAUGAUUGCCAAUGAGACAACUCUCCACAAGAGACUAAAAUAACACAAAUUAACAACUAUAGGUCACCGUAUGGCCUUCAACAUUGAGCAAAGUUCAUACAGCAUAGUCAGCAAUAAAAGGCCCAGAAAUGAUGAUGUAAAACAAUUCAAACGAGAAAACUAAUGGCCUAUAUAUGUACUUAUAAAAUAACAACACUAUAGCAUUGAGAGUACAAAAAAUUACAGCAAAGAAUACAAAAAAAACCAUUGAAUUUGUCAAUUUUGUACUCUUGGUACAAUAAUCAUGAUAAUCUCUGUGAAUUAGUGUUUUAAAAAGGAUACUUGAUACACAUACAUUGUGUAGUUCACAUUUAUGUCAUAUAUAUUUGCUGAGCCAAAUUUUUACCAGUUUUCAUUGUUUUGUAUUUACAGGCAGAAGAAUUAGUAAAACGUUUAUCCGACCUUGAACAUUCAGCAUCUAGUGAUGCUGCUGUAAGAGAGAAGAUUGCUGCUCUUCCACCGGAAGUGUCUGAUGUUAACCACCUCGCCAAAAUUCAUGGUAAAAAUUCAUUCACUGUGGAUCCAUUUAUUUUUUGUUGGUACCAAUUUUCCUUGAUAUUUUAUUUCAUGGUUUUGCAAAAGUCUGCAUACAAGCCUUUACCUGUAUAAAAGUUGUUCUUCCUUGAACAUUUGGUUCACCAUUACGAAAGAAAUCCAGGAAAUCUAGUGUCACACGAAUAAUGAAUAUUAAAUGGACCCCAUUUUUUAAGGGCUUAUUUCUUAAAGUCUGAGCAAAAUUGAUGAAUUACCUAGCUACCUUCGAAAUUUUAAAAAGUGUUUCAGUGUUUUCCCCAAUAUUCUUGGAUAGCAUCAUAGAUAGUAUGACAACAAGUAAGGUAUAUAACAUAAUUUGCAACUUAUCAUGACUUAUUUCCUCUAGCCUGUCUCCUUAUGGACAACAAUUAUAUAGUUUCUUUAUUUAUAUAACUUUGAAUUAUUUGAUGAAUACAGUGUUCUUGUGAUCUUGCUGUAACUGGAUAAUAAAUAGGAAUGCAUAUUUUAAAGUGUAUGUAGAAAAGCACAGGGUCCUACCUUCAAAUUCACAGUUGACAUUUUCGUAACUAAGGAGCUUCAGAUAGCACCCAUGUUGACUUGCUGAAAUCAGUAAAAGUGCAAGGAAUGAAGUAGAAUAAAAAAUAAGACACCACUUACCUCAAAACUUUAUUUAAAUGCAAUAUUAUCCAAACUUGACAGGUUCACCUAACCGAAAAGUGUUUUUCAUUUUUCUGACAUAAUGUUUUGUAAUUACUUCCAUGUAAUACUGUGGAUUUAUUAUUAUUAUUCGUUUGAUACCAAUUUUCGUGGAUUUUGUGAUUGCAAAUAAACCAUAAAUAAAAAAUGUUCAACGAAGAAAUAGUUUUCUAUAGUCUUGUAUGCAGACCAUAUUAAAACAACGAAAUCAAAUAUCCACAAAAAUACAAAGUUUCUUCAAUCCACAAAAAUUGGUACCCACGAACUAAAUGAAUCUAGGAAAUUGCAUUAAUUAAAUUUCACUGGAUUUUGUUUUAUUUUGUACAUUUUCCCAAGUUCUAAUGCAUUAAUUAUAUUUUGUUAUGUUAUGUUAUUAAUAAUAAUUUAGAGCUAUUAAAAUUGCAUGUCAUAUAUGCAAUUAUUUAAUUUUGACUUUAGUUAGCUAGUUGAUAAUUAUCUCCUCCAAAAAUUUCAAAUUUGCUUGAUACUGAUGAUACCUGUGGAUAUUCCCACCCUGAAGAUCAUUACCAACCAAAUUUUUUUAUGAUAUUGGGGUGAACAAUCUUUUCUAUAUUGUACAGGUUUGAAAUCAAAAGAAAUAAUGAAGAUAUUGUCUCUCAUUUACAAUGCAUGCAGAGUUUUAUUUUUUUAAAGAAAACAAUCCAUUUUUAAUUUGGUAAGCAUUUUUUUACUCAUAAAUAUUUUUAUGAAUAACAAUAAGUUUUUUAGCACUAAAAUUAAAAACACUAGGCAAAGAUAAGGGGAGUAACUCUUUCUGAAUUUAACACGAUUUUGUUUGGCCUAUUUAAAAUAUUCAUUCCUUUGGAAGAUUGAUUGAUUGUUUGUUGCUUAACGUCCAGUGGCAAUCCUUUGGAAGAAAGACAGAAUCUGUUCAAUAGUACUAUGUAUUAUAUCUAGACUGUGACUGUCCAAAUUAAUUGUGGCAGAUGUAUCUAACAAACUGGAAGAAAAUCAACAGUCAAAAAACAAUAUGUUUAGUUGUAAAGAGAAAGAAGACUAAAUAAAAGAGACAGAUUUUCAUGUCUUACUUUAACAACAAGCUUCAAACAGAAUAAAAAUGUUCACAAUUGUCAAAUAUUAUUAAUUAAUGGGCCAGAAAUAUAGGAUGAUGCUCCAAAUUUAUAGAACUUCAGGUCUGUGAUGCUUAGGAGACCACUGUCAUUUCUUUUGGAUUUUUUAAAACUACUAGUAUGUAAUGAAACAAGCUAAUUAAUUCCCUAUGAAAUGAAUAAGAUGGGAUUUGUUGCAUUUUUGAGCUAGGAUGAUAAGUAUAUAAAAAUUGAUUGAUUAUAAUUUAUUCAUCUUUCAAUUAUUCUUGAGUAAAAAUGAAAACUACAAAUUGUCAAAUGUUUAAAAUACAAGAUGCCUUUCUUAAAUAAUAAAUUUUUAUUUCAGUAAGUAAUGUUCAACAUCAUAUUUAAUUCACUAGUCCCAACAUGCAACAUGCAUCGUUCUUUAUUUGUUUCCUUUAUCUCCAUAAUAUUUUUUCAAAUUUCUUAUCAUCUGAAACCACAGUACAAACUACAACCAACUCAGGAUUAAUAAGCCAGAAUAUAUAUAGUUGAAAUUUGUUAACUCUCCCUGGCAAUUUACCAAUUACGACCUAUUGACCUUUUAUUAUUAUUUUUGGGGUUUCCCUUAACAAGACAUGGAAAAUGUCAUAUACACAAAUUCUGGUAGGAAUCUUGUUUCAUUAGGGUAAUAUUCAAAUCAUCAAUGUCAAUGUCCUAUCAAAGGUUGGUGGUUCUGGGCACUCCGGCUUCUCCACCUAUAAAAACUGACUGCCAUGAAAUACUAUAGCCCGAAUGUGGCACUUAAAAGUGGCACUUAAAAGUGGCAUUACAAACCAACAAACCAUCAAUCAAUGUCACUUAAAUUAUAAUUCUACCUUCCCUUUUGUUUUCAACGAUGUAGUAGGAAACACAGCUAUUAUUUUAUUUGGCCUCAAUCAAAUUGUUUAAUUUUCUGAUGUUAACAUGAUGUGGUCAUUACAUGCUUUGGUCUGUUCAUACUGUUGUUCUGCCUUAUACAAAUUAUUUAUAACUGUCAUGAUUAACAAAGUUUGAUGUGUCUAUUUCAGAUAAAGAAUCUGGUGUGAUAUUGUCAAGAAAAGUAGAAGAUGCUUGUAUAUUGUUGUCUGAAUAUAACUUUCGAUUGAAUGCAGAGUUAGAAGAAAGAAAAAUGGUCGGGAAAAUGUUAAAAGAUUUCAUAGCUUGCCAAAAAGAACAAUUAAUGUCUGCAGAGAAAAAAAUAGAGGUAAAUGUUUUGGAUUUGUAAAUAAUUUUUUAUGAAAUUUUACUUGUAGGAGCACUAAAAUAUUUAUGAUUUGUUAAAAAUAUUGUUAUCUCCCCUUCCUCAGUUCCCUCAGCUGAACCAUAACUAAUACUAUAGUGAAAUAAAUUGUUAGUUUUCUUUAUUUUUGCAAAACAGAUUGAUUCCAUUGUCAGUAUACGUGGCAUAAACAUUAAGGUUAAGUCUGUAGUUCAAAUAUUUUUAGACAUCAAAAAUUUUGUCACACAUUCACAGAAUAUAAAAAAAAUAUUGAACAGAAGCUUCAUAAUAUCCAAGAGACAGCAUCUGGAGCACAAUCAAAAAAAAAAUUUGUUUGUUUGUGCUAAAGUAUUACUGUAAACUCAUUUACAGUAUUUUUGUCUUAUCUUUCAGGAAUACAAGAAACGACUAGAUAAAGUGACUGAAGUCCGAGGAGAAUUGGAAUCUCACAUAAAAAAUUUACCUGAUUUUGAUCUUUUACCUCGUUUAACUGGUGGUCUUGCACCAUUGCCUUCAGCUGGCGACCUCUUUAACAUGCAAGAUGGUAGACAUUGACACAGUAUUGGGUAUGGUUAUUUUUUAUGCUCCUGCUGUAGCAUAGAGGGCAUUAAGUUUUACCCUUGUCUGUUUUUUGUUUCCAUUCACCAACUUAAGUUUGCCUCAACCAAAUGCUAUAAAACUUAUACACAAUAUAUACUUAUUACCACAAAAAGGAGAUCAAGAACAAAUUUAGAUAACUUCACUUUUGCUGUUCAUCAGUUAUAUCCCUUUAUGACUUUAUUUAAAAUGCAAGCCGGGGCAUUAUCUGUGUGCCAUGGACACAUUCCCCAUUUUUUAAUUUUAUUUAGUAGCACGUAGAUUGAGUUUAUAUGAAAUUGAUCAUUCAAGUUGAAAUACCAGUGUAUGAUGUAUGACCAGCACUUGAAAUUUAUUAUAACAAAUAUAAUUUACAGUGAAAAUGGGUAUCCUAUAAAAGGCAACAAUAUCAAGAGCACUUCAAAACUCAUAAGUCAUAAGAAAAACUGACAAAACCAUGGUGAAAAAUUAAAAACUACAAAAAUACCAACAGUUAACAACACUCUGCAUAGACAACUAUAUAUUGAGAACAUUACUUCUAAAGAUGUGCUGAUAUAAACAAAAAAUAUGUAUCUUUGGGACACAAGAGGAAACAAAUAGACAAUGUGCCAUGCAUUAACGAGAAAUUAACAAAUAUAAUGUUAUUUGUCUUUUUGUAGGUUUGGAUAAAAAUGGCUCAGUAUAUAAUGAAGGCAUUCCUGUUAGAACAGACGAAGUGACUAGUCAGUAAAUGUGCAGAUAUUGUCUUAUUCCAUCAUCACCCUUCAUCUAUCACCACGAUGAGUGCUCUUAUUUAUAUGUUGGAAAUGAAUGGUCAUCUUUGUGCUGGAACUAGUAGUGCUGUGUUAUACUUAAAAAUGUUGUUACCACAAAUUAUUUCUGUAAUUACUUCAGAUUGUAUAAAUCUUACUGGCUUACUUGGGUUAUGAUGACAUGUCAGUAUUUGUAAUUAUUUGAAGUCAUCUGUCAACCAUUAUUUAAAAAAAAUGCUUUGAAAGUACUGGACCAUUUUGGACUUUAUUGUAUGAUCCUUAUAGCAUUUUUAUGUUGUGACUGGAGAGGGCAUUAAAUGUUAUCCUUUCCAUCCAUACAAAAGUACUUCACAAAAAUUUUGGUGGUGUCACUAUUACUGUUAAAGAGGUAUGCCCCUUUAUGUAGGGAAAAUUGCUGAAAAAUUUCAUUUCCAUUCUCUUACUUUAGUUUGACUUAACCAAAUACUAUGAAUCCAAUAAACAAUGCUUACUAUGAAGAAAUAUAGAUUAAGUUCAAAUUUGGGUGGCUUUACUUUUAUUAUUCUCUAUUUAUUGAUUUAAAAAAACCUUCAAAAAGACUGCUUGUCAGUUGAGUGCUUAAUGUGUUAACAUGAACACACAAUUUUCCCUCAAAUGCUAUAAAUGUUAUGUUAUGAAGAAUUAUUUUUUUAACUAAUUUAGUUUCAUUUUGGGCAUUUUAAUCUGAGUCUGACAGUUACCAAAUGUUUGUCUCUUCAUUUGGUCACCCAAUCCCAAAGUUCAUUAAAUUGAAAGAAAGAUGGAUGUUUUUUACUCGGAUGAUAGUGGACAUUUUCACUAAAACUAUAUUAUAUUAAGAUUACCCUAUAGGCAUUGGCUGCACUGCAUAAUAACUGCCUCCAGCCCUGGUCAAUAGUAUGUAUGGAUAAAAGAUGGGAUUACAAGCUACUUAAGUUUCUAAUUUGGAUGUUUUUGUCAAUUUUAGAAGAAAAACAAAUCAAACUUUCUUAAAAUUGCAUAUAGCACAAGUACACAAUAUAUUCAGUUGUAGAAUAGUCAACUUUGGGAUUUAUCUGGUUUGUUGUGGAUUUUUCCAUUAUAAAAAGUACUUUAAUUAAAGGGCAAAAUAUUAAGGGUCUUUUUUUUCCCAGAGUUAGAUUUUUAUUAAAGUUUAACUAACACAGAGAUUUUCAAAUAUAAUUUUAGAGUAUUUUGAUUAUAAUGAAGACACAUUGACAGCACUUAUAUUCUUGCACAUUUAGAUUUAGAAUAUAACAAAACACCUAGAAAAUGUGGUUGUAUUUGUUUAUAUAUAAUUCAUUAUACAACAAAGUGUAAAUUCUUAGAUUACAUUGAUACUGGUGAAAUGUUUUAAUAACUGUGGAUUCAUUUAGUUUCAUGAGUACCAAUUUAAGAGGAUUGAGGAAAAUUGUAUUUCCAUGAAUAUUUGAUUUUGUAGUUUUGCCGAAGUCAGCAUAUAAGACAAAAGAAAUUUGUACUUGGUUGAACAAUUAAAAUUCUGCUCUACCAAUAUCAAGUUGAUCCUUGAAUUGAUACCGCAUAAAUAAUAAUGAAUCCACAGUUAACCAUAAUGCCUUGUAGUAUGAAAGUUGAAGACAGAAUGGCAGUAUAUUUUUAUGAGAGAGAAGAAUGUUUGUUUUUUUAUUUUGUUAGUUUUACAAGAAAACAUGUAUUUGUUAUUACAUGAAUGAGGUGUAGAGAUUUCUAUGCAUCCUUUAUUACAUGAAUGAGGUGUAGAGAUUUCUAUGCAUCCUUUAUUAUCAAUGAGGUGUAGAGAUUUCUAUGCAUCCUUUUAUAUUUUGUUGUUUGUAUUGUUCUAUCCUUAGUUUGAAAAAAUUGCAUAUUUUUCAUAAAUCAUUUCAUUCAUGAUCGACAUAUAUUUGUAAAAUAGUCAAUCUAUGUAACAAAAGAUAAACUUGUUUACCUAAACAAUUUAGUAUGUUAUACUAUUAUUGAACACAUUUGCAAAAAAUUGUUUCAUUAAAUAUGAAAUUUGGAUUUUUAUAUAACUCAUUCAUGGUUGUUAAUAAUUCGUCCUUGUUAAAAUCAAGUUCUGAACGCAAGGAUUGUUGUCUACAAGAGAUAUCAUUGAUAUUGUCAAACAAUGGAGAAGAAAUAAUGUCAUAAAUAGAAGAAAAAAAAUGUACAUAUGACAGCGGAGGAUCCAGAAGUUUUCAUAAAGGGGGGCACUGACUGAUCUAAGGGAGGCCAGCUCCAGUUAUGUUUCUGUGAUUCCCUAUAUAACUAACCAAGUUUUCCCCACAAAAGGGGGAGGCCCAUCCCCCCUGGAUCCUCCUAUGAAUGAUUUGAAGCCUUAAGUUUGUUUGGUUAUGCAUAAGGAAACUUCUAAAAGAGGGACAAAAGAUACCAGAUUGUAAUUGUGAGUACCUAUAUAUAGAAUUUUCAACCUCAGAAUGUUACCAUGAAACUUUUGUGUAUUAAUAUGUUUUACCAUUUAUACUGAUUAUCAGUAUUUUUCAGUUUGUUAAGAAGAAAAAAAAAGAUUUUUGCGUCAUUAAGUCAUGUUGUUAAUUCUUUUACUUAUAUUUUUAUUGCUUUGGCUCAUUGCAAAAAAAGUGUAUUCUGUAACAUUUUUAUUUUAGCAUUAAAAUAACUAAUAAGAAUCAAUUGAUUAUUUAUUUUCUUAUUAAACUUAUGUUUUGCAGCAUGCUAAUUAUGUUGUGUGUACUUGCAACUGUGCUAAAUUUUUCAUUUUAAAAAGGUCUGUUCAUUAGCAGAAAAUAACAUUUUUACAGUUAAACUAUACAGAAAUAAAAAGACAUUAAAUUCAGGAAAAUUGAUGAACUCAUAACAAAUUAAAAAUUAAAAUAAUCCCAGAAAAUAUGAGGUAUGGAGUACUCAUGGCUAGUAUAUGUCACACAAUCCAAUGACUAUUUAUUCUGAUUUAAGGUGGUAGUUUGAGAUGUACCGGUACUGAUGAUCAUUUUAUUUUCCUUGGUGGAUAUUUGAUUUCAUGGUUUUGCCAAAGUCUGCAUAGAAGCCUAUAGAUAAUUUGUAUUUCUAUAGACAUUUAAAUUUGUGGUUCACAUGUACUCAAGGAAAUCAUUAUUGGUAUCUCAUAAAUUCUAAUGGAUCCACAGUAUGUCAUUCAUUAACAUUAGCAAAGGUAUGACAGUUUUAAUAACUUGAACAGCAUCUAGUAUAUUUUACUAGACAUUACUACUUGUAAGAUUGAACACAUGUCAAUUAUCAUCAUUUGAUGGACAGAUUCUAGCUUGAUCAGAAAUCAGGAGAUUGAUUGGCUACCAGAAUAUGCAUGUGAUCAGUAAAUUUAUAUUUCUUAUUGUGAAAUGUUUGCUCAGUUUGGAUUUGCAUGGCAUAUGUUGCCUGUAAAGCAAGAGAUCAUUAUCCUACAACCCACCAAGACUCACUUUGUUUUGAAAUCAUGUGAUUCCCUGGGACUUAUGGUUCUUUUUAUUUUCAUUUGUAUACCAUUAUUCUAAAUGGAUUUACAAGAGUUAAACAUUGUUUUUACUUAUUUCCCUUUAAAAUAUUUGUUGCAGAUUUCUGAAAUCAGAAAGAAAAAAAAAUCUCUUAUGCAGCAGUUUGUAUGUUUCACCCAAAUAUUUUGAAAAAAAACUUGAUAUUUACAUGCAAGAUUCACUUUAAAAGUAGAAUUGUCUUUUGAAAGACAAUUGGUUAAGGGAGAUAAUUGAUUGGUUACGAGCUGAAAUGUCUUUCUAAAAUCUCCAAAGAUUAAUUGUUAAUAAGUUAAUUGAUUCUAAGAUUGACUUGAUGUUGGUUGUUAUAGAGGUCACACCUGUGUAUUGUAUGAUGUUAUUACAAUAUUUUAGAUAAUAAAAUCAUUUUUAUGUGUUGAGCUUGUAAUUUCAAAAUACCUGCCUAUCAAUGAAAAAUGACUAAAAAAAAUUGCAUGAAGCUUCAUCAUAGACUUUUAUGAUAUGAAAAAUUAACACAGCAAAAAAUGCAAAAGCUGGGUCCUAUUCAGAAAAAAACAAGAAACCUGUCUUGAAGAUGUAUCACACAACUUCUUUGUUGUCAUGGAAAUAUUUUACAACAAAGAAUAACAAACAAUUUAGAUGACUACAUGGAAUUGCACAAAAUGAUAAAAGGAUUCUUGUAUAUUAUAUGCAAUAUUCCAUUAUAGUGGUAAUAGCUCAGCAGUCAUCUAAUCCAAAAUCAUUAUCAGAAUUGAUAACAACAGCCAAUACCAUGGUUUCAAUUAUUAGAAGACUAUCCACAAACCAUUGCAUAGAAAAUUAACGAUUGAGUAACAGGAACUAUAUAACCUUACCCUUCAAGAGCACUUGAUUUCACCAAGUUUUUUGGUGGGGUUCAUUUUGCUCAUAGAUAUAAGAAGAUGUGGUAAUUAGUGCAAAUGAGACAACACUCCAAUCCAAGUCACAAUUGUAAAAGUUUUUAACACGGAGCCUUUAUUUUUCUGUUUGAUUUUCGAAACAUGUUUUUCCUUUGGUUGUUUGAACUUCAGAGUGUUAAUAUCCUUUUGCUAUCUUCCACCUCUCUUUUAUCGAAAACUUGGUGUGAACUUGAUUUCUCAGAAAGAGUACCAUUAAAUUUGUUAAAUAAGCUGUUCCUGGUCCACCAUCAUGUUAGGUAGCCUAGAAAAGUUAAAAAAAGAGUAAGUGAUUAAGAUGAAACAGUCAAUACAAGUUCCUUGAUGCCAUGUCUAAUGUUAACAAUUUCAACAGUUUGGCAAAAGGGCCCUAACAUUUAAGUUAUCUCAAAAUGACCGAAAUUAUGUGAAAACUCUUCCAGAGCCUUGCCCUCGGAGUGCUAUGAUGAACAACAACAAUACUUUCAAGAGGUUACACUUUUAGUUUUUGUCUUGUCUGUGAUCCGAAUGUCGCAGGAAAAAUGGGACACCAAUAUAUCGUCGACUUGGGUGAAGAAUAAGUCACCAUAAAGCACAAAGACUAGUCGUGGCAAUACGUGUGGGCCAUUUCUGCAUUACCUGAGUCGUCCAAUUUUAAUAUACUUUAUUAUAUUAAUCUGCAAGUAUACAAAUUGUAAACUAAGUUUACAAUUGUGUUCCAAUAAAUAUGAACAAUAUAUUUGACUGAAAUAUUUCCAUGCAACCGAGCUUUAUUGUGACCUUAACUUACAUACCAAAAUGCGGCUUUCAAGCCAUACUGAAUUCUAUAUAUUUGAAAUACUAAAGUAACUUUACUUUAACUGAAACAUUUUAAACAUGGCUAAAAGAAUAGAUAAAGGUACAAGUACCUGCCGCGGUGACUUUAUUCUUCCACCCUCCUGAGUGUAAUAUUGACCAGUGACUAACUCAAAUAGUGAAGUAAUAUUAGUAUAUAUGGACCAUAAUUUGGUAUUCGGCCUUUGGUUUCUUUUUGUAUCCUUUUUUAUAAGUUCUAAAACUUUAACUUUUAUUCUGUGGGUUGUGUUGGUGUUAGAAUAGUAUUAAUGGAACAAUUGAGUUUUUCAAGAAAAAAUUAAUACAUUUUGAUUCACCGUUUACGUGACAGGAAACCAAACAGGAAACCAAUCUUUAUUUUCUUUAUUUUGCACAAUAUAUUUCAAAAGACAUAAAUGAACACCUUUACUAGUGUUACUUGCUUCAUGUUAAUAUUUAAAAUCUAUUUUCAAUGUUAAAUUAAAGUUUUUUUUAAAUGCGACAGGAAACCAUAAGAAACCGAAAGCAUUUUUUUAGUUUUAUUUUAUUGCAAAAUCUGCUUAAAAUAAUCUGAACAGUAUACUUUUUCUUAAAAUCCAUCUUAAAUGUAACAGUAUUAUAAAACUCCUAAAUAUGUGCUUGUUUUGAAAAUAAUUAGUACAAUUUAUUCAGAAAUUUCCAUAUUUUCUUCAUUGAUACAGGAUACCAUAAUCGUUGUAUCUUGAUGUUUUAGCCAAAAAAAUGUAUUUAUAUUUGGUUUUGAAAUUCCAGUUAUAUACAAUUUAUUCCAAAUCAUUGGCAAUGUAAAAUUCUUUAAAUCCAGUAAAGAAAAAAACUUUUAACUUGGAAUUAAAAUCUUUAAAAUAGGCACCAUGUGAUAUUUGUGACCUGUACACCAUCUACAUGGUUUCCACAUUUUAACCUACUUUAGUGGGCUAAAAUCAAUAAAGUACUUCCUUUCAAGUCAUGCAUGGUAAAAGUUUACUUCUCCUUUGACAAGUUUAUUGCGUUUUUGAAAAGUGUUUGCAGAACAUGAAUAAAAAAAAAAAAAUUAUAAAUUGUGACAAAGAUACCAACUUAUAUAAUUUUUUUUAUCUGUAUGGGUUUAUUGCAAUAAAUGUGGUAUUUGAUAGAAUCUGGUAUUGUAACCAAUGUUCAAUUUAUAUCAUUACACAUAUCCGAUAUCAUAUAGUAAUCUGAGAAUAAAACUUCUAAGGGGCUCCAAUCCACAUAUUUAUCCGUGUUUUAGUAAAUGCCAAAAUUAUAGUAAAACGUAUCCGAGAGAGAGAUCGGACAAGCGCCUAUAAAAAGGUCAAGGUAGUUAAAAGGGGCGGACAAUGCCAUUGAUGCUGAACUGUGUUUCAUUUUACAAAACAGAUUUAUUAUAUAUUCAAAUCAAGUGGACUAUUUCAUAUAUGCUUCAAGCAAAUUAAAGAAACAGUAGGUCCGUGAAUCUGAAGACUGGUAAAGAUUCGACAAGUAAGUUAUCUUAUUAAAUAUCUUUAACGGCAAAUUACGCGUUUGGACCAUUAAUGGCAUUAUCUCCAAGAUCGACCGACUUGAAUGUAUAUGUUUUCAUUGCAUUGAAACUAAAUCAAUCUUUGUCCAUAGUGCAUGGAUGAUGUGUAAAAACUUAAUCUUAUUUUUUUUAUAAAAAUGUAAUUUUUUAAAUGAGUUACAAUGUAUCUUAUUUAUUUAUACUAUAGUUUUACCAAUAAUAUUUUUCUUUGAAUUUGCAUAUUUCUUUGAUAUUAUAGUUUUCAUUUUUUUAAAACAUGCAUGACAUUAUUGACAGGAUAACAUUAAUACACUGCAGUGUAUUUAGGAGCCAGCUGAGGACCACCUAUGGGUUCCGGAUUUUCAAACUGUGUUGAAGAGUCAUUGGUGGCCUUCAGCUGUUUCUUCUCUUUGGUCAGUUUUUUUCUCUCUGACAUUCCGUAUUUCCAUUCUCAAUUUUUUACAUAUUUACACUUACAUGCAAAUUUUUAUGCCAUCAUGGCCAUUAUUCAUGUUGCUAAAAACCACACAAGAUCUUACAAAAUGCUGCGUUCACAAAGUAAAAAUUUGACGUCCAAAUUCAAAAGCUAUUGUGGCAUGACAUCAAAUUGAAAAAUGUCUAAUAUGCCUGCAGAACAUAUCAGGAAUAAAAUUCUCAAUAUUCUGUAUAAUUCAUUGAUAAAUUGAACCGGAUGGACACAUACAAAGUGACUUUGCUGCAUUGACAUUGAGGACAACAUCAUGUCAUUGCAUAAUAAUUUUCAAGUACCCUAUCCUGGAUAAAAAAAAAUACUGCAGGAUCAAAGGGAAAAUGUACAAAUUUUCAAAAAGUGUUAUAUUUUAAUAUUUAUGAAGUAAUACAUUUGUUAGCUUUUAUUUCCCCACUUAAAAUAAUUGGCACUUGAAGCAAUCGUAUAUAUAUAAUGUAUAUAAUUAUUUGUAUGAAAGUAUCUUAUUUUAAUCCUCUUGUUAUAAUAAUUAUAAGAUGUUCAAAGUCCAAUACUUGACAAAACCUGAGAGUCAAACAGAAACUUUGCCAAUCGUAAUUGUAAUACAAAUUUUAAUCAAUUUAAGUAAGAUCCUAAUUAGGUUGACAGGGGUAUAAAAUAUGAAAUUCACCCAUCUGAUUAUUCUGUAUUCAAGUGGUAUUAAAACCUUUGGGAAAAAGAGAAAAUAAUUUGGCAACAUGCAAUUUAUAAAUUUAUAUGCAUCCACAACCUUGACCUAAUAUUUUACUGUUUGGCAGUCAUUGUUGCUCUGUAUUUACAAUCAAAAAAUUAAAUCACUAAAUGAAACAAAAAUAUUUAAUUUAUUUUCUAAAUGUGUGUCAAAUGUCACACAAUGACAUUGCUUUCACCAUAUUAAUGUCUUAUGACAUGACCAGAUAAUGAUAAUUUGUUUCAAAUGAUAAAUUAUUCAAACUUCAAAGAUUAAGAAGUAUUUCAAUAGAAUUUUGAGAAGGAAAAAACCUGCUAUUUCUCAGUAAAUUUAUUUAGACAAUCUUAGGAGAAUCCAACAGGAAAUGAGUUUAAAAUAUACUUCUGAUAGAUUGUACAUUUAUAUUUAUGUACCUGUAUACAUGGUAUAGUGUAAAGGGAAGUUUCAUAACAAGAAUUUCAUGAUAGCAAGGUAUAUAUAUUAUAAAAGAUUCUUAGAAAAUCUUUUGUUUUGGUAAAGUUGUAUUUUAACUGAUUCUUAGAGGGUGCAGGGAGAUUUGUAACUGUUCGAUACGCUCUAUUAUAAAAGGCCACAUUAAUUUUGGUUAUUUGUAUUAAGGGGUAAUGUCUUCUAUAUAUAUUUAAAUUUCUGUAAAAUAAUGAUGUAUACCCAACUUCUCUUUUAUUUUAUGUGUUUGCUUAUCAUGUUUAGUCACUUUUGUCAAACAAGCCAUUGUUUAUUGUGGGUUUGCAGGAGGAUUACUGUACAUGUACAUGUAUUGUGUAUAUAGCAUUAACAUGAUCCAGUUUAAUGAAUUAGAUGUGCAUUUUGACAAUUAAUGUCACUUCAGUGAUGGCCGAGGCCAAACUUUUCCUUUAGAUAUUUAUAGAAAGUGUUAAAAUAUCAGAUACAGAUCUUUUGAGUUUUCUGAUGAAUGAAAAUGUAUACAUAAUAUAAACAAUUAAUUAAUAUUGUUGAUAAGAUUACUUUCAAAUGAUCAGGAAAUUAUAAUUUGAACACAAAAGAACAUCAGGAAGAAAAGAAAAAAGUUAAAGAAACAGAGAGACAUGUGAUUGUGAUGUAAUAAUUUAAGGAAAUAAUAUUUCAGGUAUUUGUACAAACUUUGACUUUAUAAAAUGAGUUUACAAAGUAUAUGUACAUGUAUCAAUGUUCCCAAUUAGAUUGUUUUUAGAAAUGUUAAUGCCAGUACAUAGCCUCUGGUUCUAAAUGUAAAUCAUGGUAUAUGACCAUGUUCAUCGAAACAUGUUCACAUAUGUUGUGCACGUCUACAGGAUUUCAUUUUCACACAAGGAUCACGAAAAAUUAUAUGCAUCAACGUUCAUUAAAUAACAUUUAGUGUGAACAUUUGAUUAGAUUUUGAUGUAAAUUGAAUGUGUUAUUUACGAGUUGUUCAAGUUAUAUCAUUCAAAUUAUAAGGUCAUUGACUUGCGAUUACUUAUGCAUAUGAUUCAACAGUUGUCAUUCCGUCAGAGGUAAAUAUUAGUUGUUGAUAGCUAUAGAUCCAUUGAUGUCUGUUAUCAAUUUCUCAAAUUUUUCUGUGGUAAGUGUUUUAAAAUAUUCCUUUUAUUAUAAUAAGAUUUUUGGAAUUUUAUAAAUCUUUAUAAACUUUUUACUUUCAAAUUUUAGUAAUUAGUGAUUGAAGCUUUUUAUUAGGAAUUUUAACAUUUUUUUUAAACAUGUUAAGUAAGAAGGAAAAUUUGACAUGUCAGGUAUGGCUAACUAUUAAUUGGUAUUUUUGUUGUUUGUUUGCUGUCUUAUACUCAUUGUACUCUUUUGUUCAUAUGACUUUGUCAUUUCCAUUGGUAUCUGUAUCAAGGUACUAUAAAUUUCAAUCAUUUAUGGUUUUUUGAUCCAAUCAUAAAAUAAAAAACAAUCUUAAGGUUCGUUGCACUGAAUACACUUAAUUGUAUACAAGAACUUUUCUGUGUUUUUUUUAGGUUUUUUACUAGACCAAUUUAAAAGGGAAAAAUAGGAUCAAGAUUUUUUUUAUCUCAAUGGUUUUGGAUAUUGUGAUUUGAUGUAGUUUUCCUGCGUUAUUUCUCCUGGAUUUGUAGCAAUUUAUUUCAGCAGAUUUGUAUUUCAUGUCUAUGUCCAUAAGUCCCAUUAUUGGUUUCAGUUCUCUAACUUUAGUUCGCCUCUACCUUAUGAAACAUAUAUAUAUAUAUACAAUGCUAAUAACAAACAAAACACACAUCAACUUCUAAUUUUGGUGGCUUCACUGUUAUAUUUCUAGAGUUAUGCCCAUUACAAAUGGAAAAAUUGCUGAAUUUUCUGUAACUAUUCUCUAACUUAAGUUUGCCUUUACCGCAAAAUUCAGGUCAGGUACAAAUUAAGGUAGCAUCACUUUUACUGUUCUUGAGUUAUGUCUCAUUAUAAAAUUAUAUGCAAGCAGGGACAUUAUCUGUGUCCAUCCCAUGGACACAUUCCUAAUUCAUUUUUGGUUGUCCUUUGAAAUGUUGUUCUUUGUGAACUGUGUAUAUUGUUCUUGAAAUUGGAAAAGUACAUGUCGAUGUUUAUGCAAGACCAUGUGUUACACAGUGUCAGGAAAAGUACAAAAUAGAAGUCAAAGAUCUUUGAAUGUUUCACACUCAUGAUAAUGCAUCUGACAGUUGCUUCCCCUUUGAGGAGAUACUCUCAACAUGAUAUGGAUGUAUAUGUCAGUCUACUAAAGAGAAGGUUAAUGCUUAUUGAUUUUGAUAAUCAGAAUUGUCACACAUUUGACAAACUAUAAGUCAACAUAUGGGAGUUUACAGAUCAUUAUACCUGUAACUGAUAGGUAAUUAAUGUUAAUGGAAACUGUUAAGACAGAGAACUUUAUGUACAGAAAAGCUCUUAAGUAAUAUGUACCUUUAUGGCACCAUUUACUUAUUACUUGUAGAUAUUUUUCUAUUUCCCUGCAUUGUUUGAAAUGAAUGUUUCUAGUAACCUGAAAGAAACCUUUGACACUAAAGUAUCACUUUUGCUUAUAUGAGGUAGCUAUAGGUGCAAUUACAAAAAUUGAAAAGCGUUUCAAAAUUUGAUCCUGAAACUGUUGAAAUAAUCUCCUUUCUACAUGUUCUAUAAGUGGUCAGGUGGUACUGUAUUAUUAUAUCUAUAUAUAGCUAAAAAAUGGCUGUUAAAGUUCUCAUUCAAUUAAUCAUUGAAAUUGUACUGCAUAUGUGAAAAAGUAUACAGAUUUAUAUAUUUUUGUUUUCCUUCGGAUGGUGUUUUUACAGUAUUUCAAGGAAUUUUGGUCUUUCGUGUCUCUCAAAAACUUUAAAUCCUAAAAUAAAAAAUUGAAAAAUAUAUAUACAUGUAUAUAUAUAUAUAUAUAUAUAUUACUAAAUAAAAUUUGCUGUAUAAACAUUAAAUUAUGAAAUAUUUCAAAUUGUGAGAUAGUGUAUAAAGACCUCUUGUUUACAUGAUUGGUAUGAGAGACAUCUGUUACACCUGUGUUACAGUUUGACUGAUGAGGCGUGAAAAGUCACAAACAUAAAUGUCAAACCAUGAAUCAUCCAAGGAUAUUCUUAGUGGCCUUGUCCUUGACAUUUUAGUUGGAUUGAAUUUGAUUGAUGACUGAUUUGGGGGGAAAGGGGAAGAAAAUAAUAAAAAAAAUGUAAUAAAACAUGUCUCAAAUCUACCUGUGUAGAUAAUUAGGAUAACUAUUUCUACCCUUGUCCUAGACUUGCUACAUGUUCCUUCCUAAUUAUGUUUUUUUUCUUCUUCAGUUUUGCCCCUUUAACAAUUUUACUGCUAUAACUAGGAGAAUACCAUUAUGCUGACAUCUGCAGGAGGAAGGGCAAUCAGUAGACUGGCACUUAUCAGUAAACGUAUAAAUUAGAAAGAAAGAAAUAAAAGAAAGGGAAUUGUAGCAAGUCUACCCUUGUCCGUCUUUUUGUCCAUACAUUCAUAUGUCCCAAAGUUGGUUUUCAUUCUCUAACUUUAGUUUGCCUUAACCAAAUGUUAUGAGGCUUACACACAGUGCUAAUUUCCACAAAAUAAAAAUCAAGUUUUAAAUUGGGUGGCAUCACUUUAACUGAUCUAAAGUUAUGUCCCUUUACAAAUGGAAAAAUCACUGAACUUUUUGUUUUCUUUCUCUGAAAUAAGUGCCUCAACCAAAUGUUAUGAGGCUUACACACAAUGCUUAUUACCACACAAUACAGAUCAAGUUUUAAAUUGGGUGGCGCCACUUGUACUGUCCUUGAGUUAUGCCCCUUUUUUUAUAACAAAAAUAGCUUAAUUUAUAAUUUCAGUUCUCUAACUUUAGUUUGCCUCGACCAAAUGUUAUGAGACUUAUACACAAUACUUAUUAUCACAAUACUCAAAUCAAGUACAAAUUUAGGUAGCGUCACUUUUACUGUUUUUCACUUAUGUCACUUUAUAACUAUAUAUGAUAUUCAAGUGGGGGCAUCAUUUGUGUCCCAUGGACGCAUUCCCCAUUUAUUUUUUGGUUUUCAUAAGUUCAAUUUAUGAAAUUGUUAACUGAAUAAAUGCUUAAAAAAUAUGUAUAAAAGUUGCAUUUCACAAAGUUUUCAGUCAAUUGUGAGACUUUAUAAAAAAAGAAAUGAGGAAAACAUUUUUAACCAAAAUAUAAAUUAAAUAAAUCUAUAGGAAAUAAAGCUAUGUUUUAUCUUUUAUAUUAAAAUAAUUCAUUAUGGUUCAGGAUGUCCUUUGAUUUAAAAAUUGACAAAAAACUAAAUAUUGCAACAUUUUAUCAAUUUUUUUUAUCAAUGAAUCAUUGAUGUAUUGCACUGAAAAACUUAUUUAUUUUUUGGAUAAUAUGAAAAUUCAUUGAAAUACAAUGUAUCCCUAAAAAACAACUGCAUUUUACAAAAAAAUCUGAGGAAAAAAAAAGUCUCUUUUUUUUGUCACUAAAGCUUCAUUGAUAUUUUGAUUUUUAUCCUGUACAAAUAAGAGAAUAAGGUGAAGUUUGCCAUACUUCUUAAAAAAUGAAAUUACAUUUUCAAUCUGUUUAAAAGAAAGUUGCUUCUCUGAUUGAUAUUUGCUUAAGGUGAAACGAUAGUUGAACCUGUGAACUUAUGAUCCACUAUGGCACAAUUUAUAUGCAUAUAUAUAUAAAAAUGGUAGAUUUUAUCAUGACUAAUAAAUAAGUUUUUGAAUGCUCAAUUAUUCGAAACAAACAAAUGGAUCAGACACAAGUUUUUCAGCUUAGUAACAUCCUCCCCAAUUUUUGAUAGAUGUGGUUUUAAUUUAUAGUGCCUGCUUUGGCAAAGUUAGCAAAAUUUAUUUGAUACUUUUAUUUUAUGGGUGUAUAAAGAAUUUUGUAAAGUAAAAUAUAAAAUGAGUGACUCAUUGAAAUCUCCAUUGUUGUGAGUAGGUGUAGGAGGGACUCUUGAUAAAGUUACUAUUGUGAUCAAUAAUGAUAUGUUUAGGACACCUACAACCACCUGAAAUACACCCAGUCUGCAUCAAGUUUUAAAUUUCACUAACUUUAUCUAGUGAAUAUAAUUUUACGUGUAUAUGUGAAUGUCCAGUGGAGUAUAUUUGAAUCAGACAAAAGUCUUGACUUCUCAUAAAAACUGAUUCUAGAAAUAUAGCUUUUCUGAAAAAUAUAUUUCUGUCAUUCCAAAAUUAAAGCAUUUUUGCUCCAAAAAACAUUCUUAAUUGUUCUUUCAUUAAAAGCCUAAACUUUUCUAUUACAAGACUACAAGUUGCCAUGGACUGACAGAAAAACAUAGUAAAAGACUGAAACAAGUUGAAUAGUAUUUGUAAUGAUUUGUGAGAUUUUGCUAUCUAAUUGGACAAUAUUUUUACCAAUACAUAUUUAUUAAUAACACUUCAAUAAAAUAAAUUUAUCUUUAUAUUAAUUCAAGGGUUUGUUAAUGUGUGUCACAUAUUAAGACAUUUGUUUUUAAAACACUUGAUAUAUCUCUAAUUUUGUAAUUCACACAUGUGACUAAAAAGGACAUGAAAGUCAUCAUCUUUUUUCUAAUGAAAAUUGUUGGAAAAGAAUUUUUCCAAUAAAGACCAGUUAUAUUGACGAUAUUUAAAAAAAAAAAAUAUUUAGACAAACAGUUUCUAUGUUUAGGCAGAAUUAAAUUAUUUUAAUCAUGGCUACAUUAUAUAAACCCUUAUGUAGGCGUAGAAGUUUAUUCCAGAAAAGUACUUGCAUUUGUUUCACUCUAACAUAAACUUUCAAGAAUCAAUGUCGACUGACAGUAAUGUCAAUUGUCAGUCAUAUGAUAAACUUCAACAAGUGUAUGUAAAUAUUAUAAGUUAUGAAUGAGAGGCCUUUUCAUUUGUAGAGUGUCUGGAGAUCUAAUUACAUCUAUAUCAACUAUAUGUAAGUAAAUCAGUGUGAAUGUAUAAUGAGGGUAUUAAUGUAUUUAAUUUCAAAACUGAGACAGUAUGUUGAAUACUUUCUGAUAUUUAAACAAUGAAGUACAAUGUCAUUAUAUCAUAUACUAGACCAAUUUUGAGACUUAAUAAAUGAAAAAAAUAUGGUCAUCUUUGUCUAACUUACAUGCAGAUGGACUUAUCAGUAUAAGUAGAAUUGGUUUAUGAUUACAUUGUACCUAUCAUCUAUGGUGAAAAAGUACACAUCAUUUGUUAAUCCAAAACUUUAAACAAAUGAUUAAUUUGUUAAUCCAAAACUUUAAACAAAUGAUUAAUUUGUUAAUCCAAAACUUAAAAGAAAUGUUUAGUACCCAGAAUCACUUGAUAUUAGACACAAACUACAUUGAAACACUUUUUUUGGCCAUAGUUGGGAAGUACUUUAUUCUGAUUUUUUUUUGCAAAAUACAUGUGCAGGUAAUUAACGAGAAUAAAGGUAAAGAAAAGAUUAGGACACUAAUAUUGAAUCUGAUAUUCAGGAGAUGUUUUUGAAAUAUCACUGAGAUGGUGACAAAACUAUUGAAAGGUUAUUUUACUCCUCAAAUACAAGAAGGAAAAGAAAAAGACAUCUUUUCUUUGAGGAGCCAGACAAAUAAAUUAAAACAUCUCUAUUUUAAACACUGUUCUAUAAGUAUUGUAAAUAUGUGAUCUAAUUUUCAUAUAUUUUUUUUCAAUAAUUGACCUAUGAUCUAUUGUGAAAAAGUACACGUACAUUAAUUGUUUAUCCAAAACUUUAAAGAAAUGUUAAGUACCCAGAAAUAAUUGAUAUUUGACAUAUAAAUUUAAGACAUUUUUGAAAUCGUGGUGAUAGUGGUUUUACAUUGAAACUUAAAAAUGUCAAAGUCUGACUGUCAGAAGAAACUAGGUUAUUUUUAACUUUAUGACUGAAAAACCAGGUCAUGCAGUGAGUGUAAGUGUUUAAACAGAGGAGAAUCGUGAUCCAUUCCUUUUGAUGUGCUAGAAAACAAGUAAGUUGUUUCACUCAACAGCCUCAACAUUCCUCUAUUGUGGUUAACUAGGUAAUAAUGAGUUACCUGAUGUCAGUUGAGUACACAUGAGUAAAUAAUAAUGCAGAGUUCAUGACUAAGUUAAUUGGACAGUAACAAAAUUUCUAAUUAAAAAAUUUCCAUAGAGAAGCAGUGAUGGAAUAAUUAACAUACGUUUCUGCAUUAAACAUAUUUACACAUGUCCUGAUAGACAGGAAAUAAAUUUCAAAGUUAGUUUUUUUUAUACAACAUACAUGACCUGUGCUUGUGUGCUUUAGAAUCAUUGCAUGAAUUAAAGUGUCUUGUCUUUUUUCUGUCUGGAAGAAUUGGUAAUAUUUUAGAGAUAUCUAGGUACAUUUGUUCUUGUUUGCCCACAACACGAUGUUUGCUUGCACAAUAUCAUUAUAUAAUACAUGUAUAUUACUAUAAAUUGUUCCAUCAUAUUCUAUUGACUUCAAAUCCAAUGUAUUUUAUUUUUGUCACUUAGUACCACUUAUUAAGUAGCGGGAUUGUCCUGAUUUACAUGUUUAUUGUUAUAACUUAACGACAGCCACUUUAUUAAGUUCCCGGCAAGACACAGGAUCAUUGUAACUUUUGACAGGGUUAAAUAUAUUUGUUGGUGCUCAGCCUCAGUAUCCCUUUUCAGGGACAGUGUUUAAAUAAAAACUAAUAACUACAUUUGUAUACAGUAUUGGUUUUGCUCAUUGUUGAAGGCUGUACAGUGACCUAUAGUUGUUUAAAUCAACAUCAUUCCAACUCUGGUCAAUAGUUGUCUUAAAGGUAAUCAUAACACAUUCUGCUGAGUUUGUUUAAAUGAACUGUUAAAAUCAAUUAAAAUGAACUCAUUAUACCUUAUUUUUAUGUUAGAAAACAACAAAAGAUAUCAUUCUGUGUACCAGAUAAUAGCCAAAUGGCUAGAGUAAAUUCUACUUCAUUGAAAGAUUAUGACCACUAACAUGUAUUAAAUCAACAACUCCAUGUAGAAGUAUAUAUAUGUGGUCUUAUCUGUCCUUAAAUGACCACUGGUAUUUAAUCAAAUAUUUUCUUUUUUGUAGGUCAGUUGA
Molecule: small RNA, 28434 nt
Filed under: Mytilus galloprovincialis (Mediterranean mussel)
Lineage: Eukaryota; Metazoa; Mollusca; Bivalvia; Mytilida; Mytilidae
Source: RNAcentral